RNAcentral lists this ribosomal RNA (166 nucleotides) under uncultured bacterium. RNAcentral's name for it is "partial 16S ribosomal RNA". It matches the Rfam family "Bacterial small subunit ribosomal RNA", at positions 1334 to 1500 of the family's 1533-position model. The record is from RNAcentral.
GCUAGUAAUCGUAGGUCAGCAUACUACGGUGAAUACGUUCCCGGGCCUUGUACACACCGCCCGUCAACCAUGAGAGUUGGCAACACCCGAAGUCGGUAGUCUAACCGCAAGGAGGACGCCGCCGAAGGUGGGGUCGAUGAUUAGGGUUAAGUCGUAACAAGGUAUC